This 253-nucleotide ribosomal RNA is filed under the name uncultured bacterium. Its description in RNAcentral is "partial 16S ribosomal RNA". It matches the Rfam family "Bacterial small subunit ribosomal RNA", at positions 524 to 776 of the family's 1533-position model. The record is from RNAcentral.
UACGGAGGAUGCGAGCGUUAUCCGGAUUUAUUGGGUUUAAAGGGUGCGUAGGCGGCAGAUUAAGUUAGAGGUGAAAUUCCGAGGCUCAACCUUGGCACUGCCUCUGAUACUGGUUUGCUAGCGAGUAGAUGCUGUAUGCGGAAUGCGUGGUGUAGCGGUGAAAUGCAUAGAUAUCACGCAGAACUCCGAUUGCGAAGGCAGCAUACCGGCGCGCAACUGACGCUCAUGCACGAAAGUGUGGGUAUCGAACAGG